CCUACGGGAGGCAGCAGUGGGGAAUAUUGGGCAAUGGAGGCAACUCUUACCCAGCAAUGCCGCGUGAAUGAAGAAGGUCUUCGGAUUGUAAAGUUCUUUAAUUGGGGACGAAAAAAAUGACGGUACCCAAGGAAUAAGCCCCGGCUAACUACGUGCCAGCAGCCGCGGUAAUACGUAGGGAGCGAGCGUUGUCCGGAAUUACUGGGUGUAAAGGGAGCGUAGGCGGGGAUGCAAGUUGGGUGUCAAAACUACCGGCUCAACUGGUAGUCGCACUCAAAACUGCAGCUCUUGAGUUAAGAAGAGGC
Molecule: ribosomal RNA, 305 nt
Filed under: uncultured bacterium
Lineage: Bacteria
Description: bacterial SSU rRNA
Rfam family: Bacterial small subunit ribosomal RNA
Source: RNAcentral